This 790-nucleotide long non-coding RNA is filed under the name Phaseolus vulgaris (common bean). Its description in RNAcentral is "long non-coding RNA (PVUL_LNC001945)". The record is from RNAcentral. Lineage: Eukaryota; Viridiplantae; Streptophyta; Magnoliopsida; Fabales; Fabaceae.
CCAUCACCAAAACCUCAGCCUCCUUAUUAUUAUCACUCUCCACCUCCUCCAACACCAGUUGUUAAGCCACCAUACUACUACCAAUCUCCACCUCCUCCAUCUCCAAAACCUAAGCCUCCAUACUACUACCAAUCUCCUCCUCCUCCAUCACCAAAACCUAAACCUCCUUACUACUACCAAUCUCCACCUCCUCCAUCACCAAAACCUCAGCCUCCAUACUACUAUCAAUCUCCACCUCCUCCAACACCAGUUGUGAAGCCACCAUACUACUACCAAUCUCCACCUCCUCCAUCACCAAAACCUCAGCCUCCUUACUAUUACCAAUCUCCACCUCCUCCAACACCAGUUGUUAAGCCACCAUACUACUAUAAAUCUCCACCUCCCCCAUCACCCUCUCCUCCACCACCAUACUACUACAAAUCUCCACCACCACCAUCCCCAUCACCGCCACCUCCAUACUACUAUAAAUCUCCACCUCCACCAUCACCGGUUGUUAAGCCACCAUACUACUAUAAAUCCCCACCUCCCCCAUCACCCUCUCCUCCCCCUCCAUACUACUAUAAAUCUCCACCUCCAUACUACUACCACUCUCCACCUCCACCAUCACCAGUUGUUAAGCCACCAUACUACUACAAAUCUCCACCUCCACCAUCACCCUCACCUCCCCCUCCAUACUACUAUAAAUCUCCACCCCCACCUUCACCAUCCCCUCCUCCUCCAUACUAUUAUAAAUCACCACCACCACCAUCCCCAUCACCGCCACCUCCAUACUAUUACAAAUCCCCUCCAC